CUGCUUUAAUGCAUCUGACUUAACCAGUGAAGGUUCUUUACUCACUUUGGUUCUUCUAGGGUCCGAAAAACUGGAUUGCAGUCUCAUCUGCCCGAUUUGCUUGGAUCUUCAGCCCAUUCCAUUCGACUUUGAGAGAGACUUGAUAUCUCACUAAAGAGGCAUCAGCUGCUAAAAUGCUACCAGUUAUCUUUAAUCAUUUGAUAAUCAUUUUUAUUAAAAAUAAAAAAUUGGUACAGUUUGACUAUGGAUUCCCAAUUGAUUUUGUAGGUGACCCGAUUUGUAUGCUCUGAUUCGAAGUGUGGAUUUUCAAGAUGCAUAUAGUUUAACAACUGUUCACAUGGCAGCCAAAAAAGGUCACAAAGAUGUGGUGAUGUUACUGGUUGAGUUUGCUCCUGAUCUGAAACACACGAAUGAUUGAGAGUCGGAUUUCGCUGCAUAUGGCAGUGCUUGGCGGCAACAAAGAUACGGUGGAGGUGCUGAAAAAUAGACGAGCAAACUUGAAUGCAACUUACUUCUUGAUAGGUACAUUGGCAACAGCUGUUCUCUGAAAGGCUGCCUAUUUGUUCUAUCAUUGAGAAUAAGCAGAAUUACAUGAGCACUUCAGAAGUUUAGGACAUGAGCACUUAAUAGUUGGCCAAAAUCUUAUGAAUACAGCUUUUUAUGUUGAGGUUUUUGUAAACCUACUGCUGUAAUCCGUGUGAAUAUAAAACUCAAAUCAAAUAAUAUCCCUUUUAUGUUCA
Long non-coding RNA from Helianthus annuus (common sunflower), 740 nucleotides. RefSeq lists it as uncharacterized. The record is from RefSeq and is a predicted model, not a curated record. NCBI's taxonomy places the organism in Eukaryota, Viridiplantae, Streptophyta, Magnoliopsida, Asterales, Asteraceae. The transcript is spliced from 3 exons.